RNAcentral lists this ribosomal RNA (715 nucleotides) under Endopterygota sp. NZAC 03011439. RNAcentral describes it as "eukaryotic LSU rRNA". It matches the Rfam family "Eukaryotic large subunit ribosomal RNA", at positions 553 to 944 of the family's 3401-position model. Lineage: Eukaryota; Metazoa; Arthropoda; Insecta. The record is from RNAcentral.
AUGUUUGAGACGGUACUUGUAUUUGUCGAUUUCACGCGUCCGCUGCGGUAUGACCGGCUACGUCGGCGUGCACUUCUCCUCUAGUAGAACGUCGCGACCCGCUGGGUGUCGGUUUAAGGACCGAGAUCGUCGACUGUUCCGUCGUUUCGGCGUAUGGUUACAGACGCUUGGCCUUUCCCGACCGGCUGCUCGGCGGUAUGCACACGGUAUUGAGCCGCACACGAAUGCGUUCAGACUCGUCGCAAGCCCGGCCAUUUACCCGGAUUUACGGACCUAGUGCCGUCCCCGGGGAUGGUUAGCUGUUGGUUGACAAUGAUGUUCUCGAACUGGCUUAUAGUUUCAAUACGAUACCGGUCAGCGACGCUAUUGCUUUGGGUACUUUCAGGACCCGUCUUGAAACACGGACCAAGGAGUCUAACAUGUGCGCGAGUCAUUGGGAUAUUAAAACCUAAAGGCGCAUUGAAAGYGAAGAUCGGCCUUGCGUCGGUUGAGGGAGGAUGGGCAGCGUUUCGAUGCUGCUCCGCACUCCCGGGGCGUCUCGUUGUCAUUGCGACUUGAGGCGCACCAAGAGCGUACACGUUGGGACCCGAAAGAUGGUGAACUAUGCCUGGUCAGGACGAAGUCAGGGGAAACCCUGAUGGAGGUCCGUAGCGAUUCUGACGUGCAAAUCGAUCGUCGGAACUGGGUAUAGGGGCGAAAGACUAAUCGAACCAUC